Molecule: long non-coding RNA, 1181 nt
Organism: Oncorhynchus tshawytscha (Chinook salmon)
Lineage: Eukaryota; Metazoa; Chordata; Actinopteri; Salmoniformes; Salmonidae
Source: Ensembl
GAGGGGUGUCCUUGCAUUUAUACCAAUUGUACAGUCAGCUCCUGGGAGUAGAGUAUUUGCUAGUCCUGAGUUUACAAGCACUGGGAGAGGUAGGCUGUUUACUCCUCCUGACCAGGGUAUCCCACCUCUGUCUUUUGAUGUACCAUCUUCCCCAGUCCUCAGUAAUAAUGGGACACCUCUGAGUCAGCUUAGUGACCUUAUUAAGCAGAUUGGUUCAGAGAUAGGAGAAUCUAUCAGAGCGAGUUUACUGCAUGCAGCCUGGGGCUUCAAGUCUUUCGCCUGCCCAUCCCCCUCACCAACCCCAGCAGUUUCCUCUGCCUGAGCAAUUUGGGUCAACUUUUAUUGCUGUGUCCGCGUUGAAUCUGGUUGCGAAGUCAGAUGUUACUUCCAGCUCCGACAGAGAUGGCCGCCUCGCUUCGCGUUCCGAGGAAACUAUGCAGUAUUUUUUUUUUUUUUUACAUGUUAUUUCUUACAAUGUUACCCCAGAAAAUCUUAGGUUUUAUUACAUACAGUCGGGAGGAACUAUUAGAUAUAAGAGCAAUGUCAACUCACCAACAUUACGACCAGGAAUACGACUUUCCCGAAGCGGAUCCUCUGUUUGGCCUACCACCCAGGACAAUGGAUCGGAUCCCAGCCGGCGCCGUAGAAGGGGCAGACGGCGCGGUCUUCUGAUCAGGCUCUGUAGAUGGGCACAUCGCGCAAUGCUCCCGAGCUUUAAUUCGCCAAUGUCCAGUCUCAUGACAACAAGGUAAGCGAAAUCUGAGCAAGGGUAGCAUUCCAGAGAGACAUCAGAGACUGUAACGUUCUUUGUUUCACGGAAACAUGGUUCACCCGAGGCACACUAUCUGAGUCGGUACAGCCACCUGGUUUCUUCACGCAUCACGCCGACGAAAACAAGCAUCUCUCUGAUCAAAUCGAAUGACAGCUACUGGCGGGUGGUGGGUACGCCAGGUCCUUCUGGCCAGUGUGAUGACAGCCACUUCCUGCGUCUCCUAUCAAAUCUGGAGAGAUGGAGAGGAGACUCCAUCCCAGAUAAAGUGGGCACCAUUAAGUUGAAGAGAGUCUGGUGUGGGGCCGCCUACCCCAAAGACAAAACUCUCUGUUGGCAGUACUGUUGUUGUCGAGCCCAGCAUGUCUCGUUGUUUGAACCGACACAUAUUAGUAGGGAGAGUAGUUACGCC